Molecule: long non-coding RNA, 507 nt
Organism: Suricata suricatta (meerkat)
Lineage: Eukaryota; Metazoa; Chordata; Mammalia; Carnivora; Herpestidae
Exons: 2
Source: RefSeq, a predicted model, not a curated record
ACCAGGAAGCCCUCAGCAGACAUCCAGUCUGUUGACACCAUGAUCUUGGACUUCUCAGCCUCCAGGAUUGUGAGAAGUAAGGGUUUCUUGUUAUAAGCCACCCAGCCUGUGGCAUUUUGUUAUAACACCCCAAAAGGAAUAAGAUGUAUUUAUAAAUAUGCCAAGAAUUUUUCUCAAGGUACUGAACUAAAAGAUCAUUCCUGGGAUGUGUUCUUUCACGAAGGAAAUAGAAAAUCAAUAAUGGAAAAAUUCAGCAGCACAGAGUGAAGUUGGCAAAUGCUGUCUGGAGUGAAACCAUUGUGUUCUCUUGGGAGACUGAGCCCAAUAGCAAUGUCCAUCAGAGAAGCUGCCAGGAACCGCAGUGCUUUGAUUAAAUAGGGUAUUAACUAGAGCCUGAUGGCGUGAACCACACUGAUGAAGACAAACCUCACCCUAUCUACCAGAAACAUUCUUUCCGUGCAAGACUUAGCAAUGAAAAUAAACAAAAGCUUUAGCUUGUCAACUACA